This 468-nucleotide ribosomal RNA is filed under the name uncultured bacterium. RNAcentral's name for it is "partial 16S ribosomal RNA". It matches the Rfam family "Bacterial small subunit ribosomal RNA", at positions 28 to 507 of the family's 1533-position model. The record is from RNAcentral.
GACGAACGCUGGCGGCGUGCUUAACACAUGCAAGUCGAACGGAAAGGCCCUGCUUUUGUGGGGUGCUCGAGUGGCGAACGGGUGAGUAACACGUGAGUAACCUGCCCUUGACUUUGGGAUAACUUCAGGAAACUGGGGCUAAUACCGGAUAGGAGCUCCUGCUGCAUGGUGGGGGUUGGAAAGUUUCGGCGGUUGGGGAUGGACUCGCGGCUUAUCAGCUUGUUGGUGGGGUAGUGGCUUACCAAGGCUUUGACGGGUAGCCGGCCUGAGAGGGUGACCGGCCACAUUGGGACUGAGAUACGGCCCAGACUCCUACGGGAGGCAGCAGUGGGGAAUAUUGCACGAUGGGCGGAAGCCUGAUGCAGCAACGCCGCGUGCGGGAUGACGGCCUUCGGGUUGUAAACCGCUUUCGCCUGUGACGAAGCGUGAGUGACGGUAAUGGGUGAAGAAGCACCGGCUAACUACGUG